Long non-coding RNA from Etheostoma spectabile (orangethroat darter), 135 nucleotides. RefSeq lists it as uncharacterized. The transcript is spliced from 3 exons. NCBI's taxonomy places the organism in Eukaryota, Metazoa, Chordata, Actinopteri, Perciformes, Percidae. The record is from RefSeq and is a predicted model, not a curated record.
AAUAAUCAUGCUAAUAGAUAGCUGCAGCAAGAGUUAAUAAGUAAGAAAACAGAUAAGGUUUUAUUAGAGUCCAAUGCUGUCUCUAAAGGAGGAGAGCGAUCCUAAGCACCCUGUAUGCCAUGGAGAAGGUGACCA